This 939-nucleotide ribosomal RNA is filed under the name Salmonella enterica subsp. enterica serovar Typhimurium. RNAcentral's name for it is "partial 23S ribosomal RNA". It matches the Rfam family "Bacterial large subunit ribosomal RNA", at positions 1995 to 2925 of the family's 2925-position model. The record is from RNAcentral. Lineage: Bacteria; Pseudomonadati; Pseudomonadota; Gammaproteobacteria; Enterobacterales; Enterobacteriaceae.
AAUGGCGUAAUGAUGGCCAGGCUGUCUCCACCCGAGACUCAGUGAAAUUGAACUCGCUGUGAAGAUGCAGUGUACCCGCGGCAAGACGGAAAGACCCCGUGAACCUUUACUAUAGCUUGACACUGAACAUUGAGCCUUGAUGUGUAGGAUAGGUGGGAGGCUUUGAAGUGUGGACGCCAGUCUGCAUGGAGCCGACCUUGAAAUACCACCCUUUAAUGUUUGAUGUUCUAACGUGGACCCGUUACCCGGGUUGCGGACAGUGUCUGGUGGGUAGUUUGACUGGGGCGGUCUCCUCCUAAAGAGUAACGGAGGAGCACGAAGGUUGGCUAAUCCUGGUCGGACAUCAGGAGGUUAGUGCAAUGGCAUAAGCCAGCUUGACUGCGAGCGUGACGGCGCGAGCAGGUGCGAAAGCAGGUCAUAGUGAUCCGGUGGUUCUGAAUGGAAGGGCCAUCGCUCAACGGAUAAAAGGUACUCCGGGGAUAACAGGCUGAUACCGCCCAAGAGUUCAUAUCGACGGCGGUGUUUGGCACCUCGAUGUCGGCUCAUCACAUCCUGGGGCUGAAGUAGGUCCCAAGGGUAUGGCUGUUCGCCAUUUAAAGUGGUACGCGAGCUGGGUUUAGAACGUCGUGAGACAGUUCGGUCCCUAUCUGCCGUGGGCGCUGGAGAACUGAGGGGGGCUGCUCCUAGUACGAGAGGACCGGAGUGGACGCAUCACUGGUGUUCGGGUUGUCAUGCCAAUGGCACUGCCCGGUAGCUAAAUGCGGAAGAGAUAAGUGCUGAAAGCAUCUAAGCACGAAACUUGCCCCGAGAUGAGUUCUCCCUGAGACUUAGAGUCUCCUGAAGGAACGUUGAAGACGACGACGUUGAUAGGCCGGGUGUGUAAGCGCAGCGAUGCGUUGAGCUAACCGGUACUAAUGAACCGUGAGGCUUAACCUUACA